UUACUACGGAGAGUUUGAUCCUGGCUCAGGACGAACGCUGGCGGCGUGCUUAACACAUGCAAGUCUAGGACGGUUUUGGAUUUAUUCAAAAACGGACUGGCGGACGGGUGAGUAACGCGUAUGCAAUCUACCAUUGGCACGGGGAUAACACCUCUAACGAGAUGCUAAUACCCGAUGACGCAGCGGCACCGCAUGGUGACAGUUGUUAAAUGCUUCGGCGGCCAUUGAUGAGCAUGCGUUUGAUUAGGUAGUUGGUGAGGUAACGGCUCACCAAGCCAACGAUCAAUAGCUGGUCUGAGAGGAUGAUCAGCCACACUGGGACUGAGACACGGCCCAGACUCCUACG
This 346-nucleotide ribosomal RNA is filed under the name Ectothiorhodospiraceae bacterium. RNAcentral describes it as "bacterial SSU rRNA". It matches the Rfam family "Bacterial small subunit ribosomal RNA", at positions 1 to 343 of the family's 1533-position model. The record is from RNAcentral. Lineage: Bacteria; Pseudomonadati; Pseudomonadota; Gammaproteobacteria; Chromatiales; Ectothiorhodospiraceae.